RNAcentral lists this non-coding RNA (202 nucleotides) under Clostridiales bacterium. Its description in RNAcentral is "6S RNA". It matches the Rfam family "6S / SsrS RNA". Rfam says of the family: E. coli 6S RNA was the first non coding RNA to be sequenced, but its function was unknown until recently. It consists of 184 nucleotides that fold into an extended hairpin structure with a large single-stranded internal bulge. The 6S RNA specifically associates with RNA polymerase holoenzyme containing the sigma70 specificity factor. The record is from RNAcentral. Lineage: Bacteria; Bacillati; Bacillota; Clostridia; Eubacteriales.
UACAUCCUGCGGUGUACGAGAUAAAGCCUUAUUUAUAACCUCACUCAUUAAAAGGGAUGGCGCGUACGCGUUGAUAUGUCAGGCCUCAGUAAUUUUGGCGUAAGCCAAGCAGGGGAAGACAAAAGACCGCGUCAGCCGACCCACCUGCUGAAAAGCGGGUUUGAAUACGGCUUAAUUAAUCUGCGGCACAGGCGGGAUUUUU